This 440-nucleotide ribosomal RNA is filed under the name uncultured bacterium. RNAcentral describes it as "partial 16S ribosomal RNA". It matches the Rfam family "Bacterial small subunit ribosomal RNA", at positions 338 to 795 of the family's 1533-position model. The record is from RNAcentral.
CCUACGGGAGGCAGCAGUGAGGAAUAUUGGGCAAUGGGGGCAACCCUGACCCAGCCAUGCCGCGUGAGUGAAGAAGGUCUUCGGAUUGUAAAGCUCUUUCGGACGUGACGAUGAUGACGGUAGCGUCUAAAGAAGCACCGGCAAACUUCGUGCCAGCAGCCGCGGUAAUACGAAGGGUGCGAGCGUUGUUCGGAAUUACUGGGCGUAAAGGGAGUGUAGGCGGAUAUGUAAGAUAGCGGUGAAAUGCCGGGGCUCAACCCCGGAACUGCCAUUAUGACUAUGUAUCUAGAGUAAUGGAGAGGAUAGCGGAAUACCCAGUGUAGAGGUGAAAUUCGUAGAUAUUGGGUAGAACACCGGUGGCGAAGGCGGCUAUCUGGCCAUUUACUGACGCUGAGGCUCGAAAGCAUGGGGAUCAAACAGGAUUAGAUACCCCAGUAGUC